This 845-nucleotide long non-coding RNA is filed under the name Nicotiana benthamiana. Its description in RNAcentral is "long non-coding RNA (NBEN_LNC039539)". The record is from RNAcentral. Lineage: Eukaryota; Viridiplantae; Streptophyta; Magnoliopsida; Solanales; Solanaceae.
UCAAUUCAAUUUUGAAAAUCCACAAAAAAAGGAACUAAAAAGGAAGAACAACUGAUUGUAAAGAAAGAUAUUCAAACUAAACGAGCUUCUGAACCAAUUGUUGUCUAUGGCCCAAGACUAAAUGCAAAACAAAUAAACUAAACUAACGAGCUCAAACAAACUAGAAAAGGAAACAAUUAAAUAUGAACUUAGAUUUAAAAAUUAAGAAAAAAAAUGCAAAAACGAAUUACGAGGAACCAGAGGAGAAGAAAAUAGAGAAAAAAAAAUAGAAGAGUAUAAGAAAUCAAAAAUGAAGAGAAGGAGAUGUUGACCAUAUCUGUCUGAACCAAACGAAACAAAUCCUUUGAACGACCUCUUGAGUUCGAUUUUCGAUCGAAAUAAACUUUAAUCGCCUGUUCUCGAUGAAAACACACGACUAAAUUCCAAUUUGAACUCAAAUUUGCAUUCACUAGCUGAUUUUUACUUUGGGGAUUUGAGGGUUCCGCUUUUAGAUUUAGGAUUUGAAGGGCUCUAGGUAAAUUCUAGGGAAGCCAAUUAGGGGUUGAAGAGGGGGAUGUUGAGGGGGUUCUGUGGUGUAAUGUUGAGGCUAAUCUGAGGUGGCAUCGCCACCAGAUGCAAUGGAGAUUUUAAGGCGGUGGUUCUAGGGUUUCAAAGAUUCAAGAGGUUCGGGGAAGGUUUGAGUAAAACUAAUGGUAGAUUGGGGUUGAGGAGGUGGAUGCGAGCCUAUGGUGUGAAUUUGGGCAUGAUUGGCAGUAGCCCCUCCGGGUUUCAGGUGGGUGAAAAAGGGCGACGGGUGUUAGGGCUUUAGUGAGAGGAGUCUUUGAAAGAGACGAGGGGGGAGGUUA